Eucalyptus grandis is the source of this 867-nucleotide long non-coding RNA. RefSeq lists it as uncharacterized. NCBI's taxonomy places the organism in Eukaryota, Viridiplantae, Streptophyta, Magnoliopsida, Myrtales, Myrtaceae. The record is from RefSeq and is a predicted model, not a curated record. The transcript is spliced from 2 exons.
CCGCCCAAAAAAGAAACCCGAAAAAUGACGAAGUCCUGGAAUCUUCUGGGCGCCGCGAGCCUUUCACGCCCUCUCUAGCUUCGCCGCCGGCCGCCAGCUCCGUUGGUGGCCACUGCCGGUCUUCCAUCUCCGAUCACGGAAGACGCAAGGAGCUCAAACCUAGAUCCUCUCGAUUUCCUCUCUCGUCUGAGCAACAUCGAGAAUUGUGCGAGCAGGCCGGUGGAUUCAUCGGUGCAAAUGCUUCUUGGAGGUCGGAGACAGAAGCUCGAGGCCCACGACUGAGUGUUCCGUCGGCCGGUGGCGUCGAAUUGCAAAGAGGCUCACGUUGCUGAGUUCGACGAUCAACUUCGGCUCCAUUUCAAUCGCCGUGGUAUGCACUUCGUGUUAUGCAGGGAGAGAGAGAAGAAUCGAGAAAUCUUCGUAGACGGCCAGUUCCUUAGGACGUUCCAACGAUGAUGGAAUUUGUCCAUCAAUUAUCACAGUCAUCAAAUCGUUUCUUUCCCGAUUAAACUCGUGUGUCAAAUUUCGAAUUCCUUUUUCAUAGCCGCAAAUGAGAGUCACUGUUUCUUCGGUCCAUAAGGUUGCUGGUGCUAAUUGGUUCGAGAGUACUGGUUUGAGUUCAAUGCGGUGGUGUCAAGGUAUGGGAGGUGUCAUGUGUUAGACGACGCACAGAAGGUAUUCAGUGAAAUUAUCCGAGACAAGGAUCAGUAAUGUUGCCUUGCGGAAUUCAAUUAUGCUUAGCCAGGAACUGUAGGAAUGCGCUCAUCUCAGUUAGAGCAUUCGGAUUCCAACAAAUAAGCCAAGUCAAACAUCUCCUUUUACGUAUGAUCAUGUGCGAUUUUGCUUCAUGUUCUGUUUUCGUACUCA